AUGGUUCAAUUUGCAAAAUACUGGAAUGGCAUUGAACUCAUAAAAGAUGACGAGGAUUUCGAUCAAAGAAACGUAGAUGUCGAGUGGAAACCAGAGUUCCUUUUUAUAGCCAUAUUUGGUGAGACAAACCAAGUAAAGUGGGAGCAACUACCUGGAAGAAUCAAAGAAUUCAAACCAGAAACUUCAAAGUUCUUUUCCACCAACAAAGCAAAGAAUCAGCUCGUUCCCAUGUAUCUCAAGGAAAAUCAACGGAAAAAGCUCUCAACAGCAAACAUGCAACAAGUAUUUUGUACGCAAAUAUUCAUUCCAAUGGAGAAGCAUGACCGCUAUGUACUAUAUGUGCUGGACAAAUACAAACACAAAGUUCACAUUAUUGAUCCUCGAGAAACGACUCACGAGGAAUUUGAGAAAGAAAAGAUAGACAUUGGAAAAUUGAAUCAAAAAGAAGCAUGUCGAGUUCUUCAGGAAAAUGAAGAUGCUAAAGAAGAAAGAGAAAGACAGUUUUAG
This 507-nucleotide ribosomal RNA is filed under the name Triticum aestivum (bread wheat). RNAcentral's name for it is "partial small subunit ribosomal RNA". Lineage: Eukaryota; Viridiplantae; Streptophyta; Magnoliopsida; Poales; Poaceae. The record is from RNAcentral.